GACGAAGGGGGCUAGCGUUGCUCGGAAUGACUGGGCGUAAAGGGCGCGUAGGCGGAUGGCACAGUCAGAUGUGAAAUUCCCGGGCUUAACCUGGGGGCUGCAUUUGAUACGUGUUGUCUUGAGUUCGGAAGAGGGUCGUGGAAUUCCCAGUGUAGAGGUGAAAUUCGUAGAUAUUGGGAAGAACACCGGUGGCGAAGGCGGCGACCUGGUCCGACACUGACGCUGAGGCGCGAAAGCGUGGGGAGCAAACAGG
RNAcentral lists this ribosomal RNA (253 nucleotides) under uncultured bacterium. RNAcentral's name for it is "partial 16S ribosomal RNA". It matches the Rfam family "Bacterial small subunit ribosomal RNA", at positions 524 to 776 of the family's 1533-position model. The record is from RNAcentral.